ACAAGUCCAUUUUCCUUAGGUAAGGCUGCAGUAAUGAACAGUCCCAAGCUUCCAAUGGCUUACAACAACAAAGGCUUAUUUUUCGCUCACAUUGCAUGUUGGCUGCAGGUUGGGUCUGGCUCUGCGACUCCACUCCGGAUGUCUAUUGCAUUCCAGGAUCCAGGCUGGAGAGCAGCUCCUAUCUUAGUCUCAUGGCAGAAAGUAACGGAACAGUAUCGGAACCACACAAUGGCUCUUAAAGCUUCUGCUGAAUGGUGGCUCUGUCACAUCUGCCCACAGUCCACUGACGAAAGCAAGUCCAUGGCCAAACCCAACAUCAAUGGGAAGCACUGAAAGUUAUGUGGCCAUGGGCAGUAAUGCACAAUCCUCUUACGAGAAGGGUAGUGGCUAACUGGAAACAAUAAUAUGAUCCACUGCCAAGGCUUUAGAAGUUAUUUGCUUCAAGCAUCUCAUUUGACAGAUGGGAAAACUGAGGCCAGGAUGAGUUAAGUAAAUUGCUCACAAUCACAUGGGGUUGCCAGUGGCAGAGCAAAGGCAAGGACCUAGGUCUCCUGCCUCCCAGUCCAGGGUUCUUCCCUGCACCCCAGGCUGCUCCCCUACAGUUUCACUUUGGCAAGUAAGGAAAGAUUGUUCACGGUUGUCCUCUGUUUGUCCUCUUCAGUUCACUCGAGCAAUAUGUUUCCUAGCACAGAGAGCUGGCUGAUGGUCAGGGCAAAAGCGAAAGUUCUCCAGAAUCAUUAUUUGAGCUUGUUUCUCUUCAGGCACCAGUCUUAAGAGAAAUUUGGUUCCGGGUGAUUGAACAGAGCCUCAGCAAGCCCCGGUUCCUUCCCGUGAAGGCUAGGAGGAAAGUAGCCAUCUGCAGAAGAAUCUGGGGAGGGACUGCCAUGGUGGGCUUUAGUUCUUGGCUAGAAGAGCCUCUGUUCUCGGCAGGAGAAGCCAAAUUGCACAAGAAAACCCAAAGAUCUUCUUUGAUGUACAAAGCCAUGAAGUCACAGCCCUUAAAAGAGGUCGACAAAGAGCCCAAAGUUUCCAUCAGGUUGACAAUGUCCAUGUAAUUCAUCUCACUCACUGCAAGGAUCAAAACACCAAAUGCUUCCAGGAGCCAGACAGGAGGCCUGAAGGCACUCAUAAUCAAAAUUCCAAACUCAACGGGGCACAGUGGCUCAUGCCUGUAAUCCCAACACUUCAGCAGGCCGAGGUGCAAGGAUUACUUGAUCUGAGGAGUUUGAUACCAGCCUAGGCAACAUAGUGAGACCCCUGUCUCUAUGAAAAGAUCAAAACACGAGCCAGGUGUAGCGGUGUGCACCUGUGGUUCCAGCUACAAGAGAGGAUUAAGCGGGAGGAUCGCUUGAGCCCGGAGGGUCAAGGCUGCAAGUGAGCUAUGAUCAUGCCACUGCACUCCAGCCUGGGCAAUGGAGUAAGACCCUGUCAAAAAAAAAAUUCUAAACUCACAUUUUGCAGGCCAACAAUAGAAGGGCUCAUUUCACAAGCCUGGCAUUUCAAAUUCCCUGCAUUUAGUCAAUUUCUAAGUACUAUUUAUUGAGCACUUCACUGUCAUGGCCACUGUUCUAAGCACCUCAGAUGGAGUAAGCCUCACAACAACCCUAUGAAGUAGGCACUAUCAUUAGCAUCAUUUGCAUUUAUAGGUGGGGAGACUGAGGCACGGAGCACUUAAGUAACUGUCCCGAUGUCAGACAGAUAGAAUAUGCCAUGGCUGGGAACUCAAAUAGUAAGGCUCAA
RNAcentral lists this long non-coding RNA (1740 nucleotides) under Homo sapiens (human). RNAcentral's name for it is "HSALNT0194393". The record is from RNAcentral. Lineage: Eukaryota; Metazoa; Chordata; Mammalia; Primates; Hominidae.